This 492-nucleotide ribosomal RNA is filed under the name uncultured bacterium. RNAcentral's name for it is "partial 16S ribosomal RNA". It matches the Rfam family "Bacterial small subunit ribosomal RNA", at positions 29 to 507 of the family's 1533-position model. The record is from RNAcentral.
AGUGAACGCUGGCGGUAGGCCUAACACAUGCAAGUCGAACGGCAGCACAGUAAGAGCUUGCUCUUACGGGUGGCGAGUGGCGGACGGGUGAGGAAUACAUCGGAAUCUACUUUUUCGUGGGGGAUAACGUAGGGAAACUUACGCUAAUACCGCAUACGACCUACGGGUGAAAGCAGUGGAUCUUCGGACCUUGCGCGAUUGAAUGAGCCGAUGUCGGAUUAGCUAGUUGGCGGGGUAAAGGCCCACCAAGGCGACGAUCCGUAGCUGGCCUGAGAGGAUGAUCAGCCACACUGGAACGGAGACACGGUCCAGACUCCUACGGGAGGCAGCAGUGGGGAAUAUUGGACAAUGGGCGCAAGCCUGAUCCAGCCAUACCGCGUGGGUGAAGAAGGCCUUCGGGUUGUAAAGCCCUUUUGUUGGGAAAGAAAAGCAGCAGGUUAAUACCCCGCUGUUCUGGCGGUACCCAAAGAAUAAGCACCGGCUAACUUCGUG